Molecule: ribosomal RNA, 1957 nt
Filed under: human gut metagenome
Description: bacterial LSU rRNA
Rfam family: Bacterial large subunit ribosomal RNA
Source: RNAcentral
GAAAGUAAAGAAGGGCGUAUGGCGGAUGCCUAGGCUCUCGGAGGCGAAGAAGGACGUGAUAAGCUGCGAUAAGCUGCGGCGAGGAGCAAAUAUCCUGCGACCCGCAGAUCUCCGAAUGGGGCAACCCGGCAGGACCACCUGUCAUCCCGGGAAACGGGAAGCAAACGUGGGGAACUGAAACAUCUCAUUACCCACAGGAAAAGAAAAUAACAAUGAUUCCGUCAGUAGUGGCGAGCGAAAGCGGAAGAGCCCAAACCGGUUCUGUUUCGGCAGAGCCGGGGUAGAAGGACUGCAUAGGACAAAGGAGCAGGUAGCCGAACGGUCUGGAAAGGCCGGUCAAAGACGGUGAUAACCCGGUAGGCGAAACCAGCGACAGCGACAGCAGUAUCCUGAGUAGUGCGGGACACGAGAAAUCCUGUAUGAAUCCGCGGGGACCAUCCCGUAAGGCUAAAUACUCCCGAGAGACCGAUAGCGAACCAGUACUGUGAAGGAAAGGUGAAAAGAACCUCGAACAGAGGAGUGAAAAAGACCCUGAAACCAUACGCCUACAAGCGGUCGGAGCCCCUACGUGGGGUGACGGCGUGCCUUUUGCAUAAUGAACCUACGAGUUACUUUUGCCAGCCAGGUUAAUCGAUUCAGUCGAGGAGCCGAAGCGAAAGCGAGUCUUAAUAGGGCGUUAUAAGUUGGCAGGAGUAGACGCGAAACCAAGUGAUCUACCCAUGAGCAGGUUGAAGGUUAGGUAACACUAACUGGAGGACCGCACCGGUAAACGUUGAAAAGUUUUCGGAUGACUUGUGGGUAGGGGUGAAAGGCUAAUCAAACUUGGAGAUAGCUCGUACUCCCCGAAAUGCAUUUAGGUGCAGCCUUCUGACUAUAUUUAAGAGGUAGAGCGACUGAUAAGAUGCGAGGGCUUCACCGCCUAUCAAGUCUUGAUAAACUCCGAAUGCUUAAAUAAGAAUCAGAGGAGUGAGGGCAUGGGUGCUAAGGUCCAUGUCCGAGAGGGAAAUAACCCAGACCACCGGCUAAGGUCCCGAAAUAACGGCUAAGUUGAAUUAACGAAGUAGAAUUGCAAAGACAGCUAGGAUGUUGGCUUGGAAGCAGCCAUUCAUUUAAAGAGUGCGUAACAGCUCACUAGUCGAGGAGUUCUGCGUGGAUAAUAAUCGGGCAUAAGCCGUUUACCGAAGCUGUGGAAUCGGCAACGAUUGGUAGGGGAGCAUUCCAUGAGCCGCAGAAGGUUUUCCUUGAGGAAUGCUGGAGGUGAUGGAAAAGCAAAUGUAGGUAUAAGUAACGAUAAAGAGGGCGAGAACCCCUCUCGCCGAAAGACCAAGGGUUCCUGAUCAACGCUAAUCGGAUCAGGGUAAGUCGGGCCCUAAGGCGCAGCCGAACGGCGCAGCCGAUGGCAGAAACGGUUAAUAUUCCGUUACUAUGAUACGGAGUGACGAGGAGACGGAGAAGUGACACUCUCGCCUGCUGACGGAAUAGCAGGUUGAACGGUGUAGAUAAUGACAUGGUAGGCAAAUCCGCCGUGACAGUCGAACCGGAUAGUACUGGGCGCCCCCGGGCAACCAGAUAGUAGAGGUAAUCAGGCUCCCGAGAAAAUCCCCUAAACAUAUGCGUAUCAUACCCGUACCCUAAACGGACACACGUGGUUGAGUAGAAAAUACUAAGGCGCUCGAGCGACUCACGGUUAAGGAACUAGGCAAAUUGACCCUGUAACUUCGGGACAAAGGGUCCCUCCCUCCGGGGAGGGCGCAGAGAAUAGGUCCAGGCAACUGUUUAACAAAAACACAGGGCUGUGCGAAAUUGAAAGAUGAAGUAUACAGCCUGACACCUGCCCGGUGCUGGAAGGUUAAGAGGAGAUGUCAUCGCAAGAGAAGCGUUGAAUUGAAGCCCCAGUAAACGGCGGCCGUAACUAUAACGGUCCUAAGGUAGCGAAAUUCCUUGUCGGGUAAGUUCC